Bos taurus (domestic cattle) is the source of this 626-nucleotide long non-coding RNA. NCBI's taxonomy places the organism in Eukaryota, Metazoa, Chordata, Mammalia, Artiodactyla, Bovidae. The record is from Ensembl.
GUUAGAACAGGAAAUUGGUGAUUUUUGUUGAUGGUCUCAUUUGAGUAAGGCCUCUGGUGUUAUUGAUUAGAUUGCAGAGUUUCAGUAUUUAUGAAGAUCAGGGUGAUGAAGGACAACAUGUGAUAAAUAGACAAAUUGACAGAAAACUUGGAACAAGGAAGAAAAUGGGGAUAUAAGAAACUUUUGAAAGCGUGUUGAUUUGGAUAUUCAUCUGGGGACAGAGCUGAGAAAUGAUUGGACUUCGAGGUGAAGAAAGAUGAGGGGAGGGGUAGCUGCUACUUGAUGACCGACUUGGAAAUCCCUGAAGGAAGGCCCUUAGCUAGUCUAAGCUAGGGAGAGGAGAACAUCGCAUCCAUUCACCAUAUCUAUCCUGAUGGGUAUGCUGCUCUGAGAUGAGGGAUAGAACAGACGGUUGGUGUCACUUCUUCACUUCACGGAAGGAGGUCACCCACAACCUUUAUACUUCGCUUCUGACUGGAAAGCUUUCUGAGAACUAGCCUGUCGGUGUAGGAUUUGAAUGUCCACAGAGGAAGGCACUAUGUCAAUCUAAAUCAACUUUAAGCAGCUCAAAGAAGGAGCUAAAGCUUCCCGAAAUCUACAAGAUAUAAGUCACCUGUCUGUAUCCC